GACGAACGCUGGCGGCAGGCUUAACACAUGCAAGUCGAACGAGUGGCGGACGGGUGAGUAAUGCUUGGGAAUCUAGCUUAUGGAGGGGGAUAACUACGGGAAACUGUAGCUAAUACCGCGUAACAUAGGAUGAGCCCAAGUGGGAGUAGCUAGUUGGUGGGGUAAAGGCCUACCAAGGCGACGAUCAGUAGCGGGUCUGAGAGGAUGAUCCGCCACACUGGGACUGAGACACGGCCCAGACUCCUGCGGUAGGCAGCAGUGGGGAAUUUUGGACAAUGGGCGCAAGCCUGAUCCAGCCAUGCCGCGUGUCUGAAGAAGGCCUUCGGGUUGUAAAGGACUUUUGUCAGGGAAGCGGUACCUGAAGAAUAAGCACCGGCUAACUACGUGCCAGCCGCCGCGGUAAUUC
RNAcentral lists this ribosomal RNA (406 nucleotides) under uncultured bacterium. RNAcentral's name for it is "partial 16S ribosomal RNA". It matches the Rfam family "Bacterial small subunit ribosomal RNA", at positions 28 to 526 of the family's 1533-position model. The record is from RNAcentral.